RNAcentral lists this ribosomal RNA (725 nucleotides) under uncultured bacterium. RNAcentral describes it as "bacterial SSU rRNA". It matches the Rfam family "Bacterial small subunit ribosomal RNA", at positions 104 to 828 of the family's 1533-position model. The record is from RNAcentral.
GGGUGCGUAACGCGUAUGCAACCUACCAUCAACAGGGGGAUAACACUGAGAAAUUGGUACUAAUACCCCAUAAUAUCUCAUGCGGCAUCGCAUGGGGUUGAAAACUCCGGUGGUUGAUGAUGGGCAUGCGUUGUAUAAGCUGGUUGGUGAGGUAACGGCUCACCAAGGCGACGAUACAUAGGGGGACUGAGAGGUUAACCCCCCACAUUGGUACUGAGACACGGACCAAACUCCUACGGGAGGCAGCAGUGAGGAAUAUUGGUCAAUGGACGCAAGUCUGAACCAGCCAUGCCGCGUGCAGGAUGACGGCUCUAUGAGUUGUAAACUGCUUUUGUACGAGGGUAAACCCCGAUACGUGUAUCGGGUUGAAAGUAUCGUACGAAUAAGGAUCGGCUAACUCCGUGCCAGCAGCCGCGGUAAUACGGAGGAUCCGAGUGUUAUCCGGAUUUAUUGGGUUUAAAGGGUGCGUAGGCGGUUUGAUAAGUUAGAGGUGAAAUGUCGGGGCUCAACCCCGAAACUGCCUCUAAUACUGUUGGACUAGAGAAUAGUUGCGGUAGGCGGAAUGUAUGGUGUAGCGGUGAAAUGCUUAGAGAUCAUACAGAACACCGAUUGCGAAGACAGCUUACCAAACUAUAUCUGACGUUGAGGCACGAAAGCGUGGGUAGCAAACAGGAUUAGAUACCCUGGUAGUCCACGCAGUAAACGAUGAUAACUCGUUGUCGGCG